Molecule: ribosomal RNA, 301 nt
Filed under: uncultured bacterium
Lineage: Bacteria
Description: partial 16S ribosomal RNA
Rfam family: Bacterial small subunit ribosomal RNA
Source: RNAcentral
CAGCCGCCGCGGUAAUACGAAGGGGGCUAGCGUUGCUCGGAAUUACUGGGCGUAAAGGGAGCGUAGGCGGAUCGUUAAGUUGGGGGUGAAAGCCCGGGGCUCAACCUCGGAAUUGCCUUCAAUACUGGCGAUCUUGAGUAUGGAAGAGGUAUGUGGAACUCCGAGUGUAGAGGUGAAAUUCGUAGAUAUUCGGAAGAACACCAGUGGCGAAGGCGACAUACUGGUCCAUUACUGACGCUGAGGCUCGAAAGCGUGGGGAGCAAACAGGAUUAGAUACCCCCGUAGUCCCUGUCUCUUAUAC